Molecule: small nuclear RNA, 182 nt
Organism: Ochotona princeps (American pika)
Lineage: Eukaryota; Metazoa; Chordata; Mammalia; Lagomorpha; Ochotonidae
Gene: U2
Rfam family: U2 spliceosomal RNA
About the family: U2 is a small nuclear RNA (snRNA) component of the spliceosome (involved in pre-mRNA splicing).
Source: Ensembl
AUCACUUCUCAGCUUUUUAGCUAAGAACAUGUGUUGUAUUUGUUCUUAUCAGUUUAAACCUACUGAUGGUGAAAACAUCUUUAUCCAAAGAAUGACUCCAUCAUACCUGUAGAAAAAGCUUGCAGGAAAUCCACAUUUCAGCUAGGGCUUCCGAGGCAAGUUCUUGGCCUGUUCCACCCCUU